GAUGAACGCUGGCGGCGUGCUUAACACAUGCAAGUCGAACGGUGAAGGCGGAGCUUGCUCUGCUGGAUCAGUGGCGAACGGGUGAGUAACACGUGAGCAAUCUGCCCCUGACUCUGGGAUAAGCGCUGGAAACGGCGUCUAAUACUGGAUACGAGCUGCGAAGGCAUCUUCAGCAGCUGGAAAGAACUUCGGUCAGGGAUGAGCUCGCGGCCUAUCAGCUUGUUGGUGAGGUAACGGCUCACCAAGGCGUCGACGGGUAGCCGGCCUGAGAGGGUGACCGGCCACACGGGGCCUGAGACACGGCCCAGACGCCUACGGGAGGCAGCAGUGGGGAAUAUUGCACAAUGGGCGAAAGCCUGAUGCAGCAACGCCGCGUGAGGGACGACGGCCUUCGGGUUGUAAACCUCUUUUAGCAGGGAAGAAGCGAAAGUGACGGUACCGUCAGAAAAAGCGCCGGCUAACUACGUG
RNAcentral lists this ribosomal RNA (468 nucleotides) under uncultured bacterium. RNAcentral describes it as "partial 16S ribosomal RNA". It matches the Rfam family "Bacterial small subunit ribosomal RNA", at positions 28 to 507 of the family's 1533-position model. The record is from RNAcentral.